This is a long non-coding RNA of Acanthopagrus latus (yellowfin seabream), 642 nucleotides long. RefSeq lists it as uncharacterized. Lineage: Eukaryota; Metazoa; Chordata; Actinopteri; Spariformes; Sparidae. The record is from RefSeq and is a predicted model, not a curated record. The transcript is spliced from 2 exons.
UCUCGGGCUGCCAAAACAUCAGCGAGAGAAGAGAGUGCUGGGGGCAAAAACAAAGCGAGGAAAACAUUAGGAAUGGAGAGCGAGAUCAAGAAACAAAAACAAAACAAGAGAAAACGAAAAGGAGAGGACGAGAGGGAAUUGCAGAGUGAGACGGGAAGAAGAUAAAGGUCAAGGGGGUACCUUUGGUUUGUGAGGCUCGUUGGCGGGGCCGCCGUCGUCUUUCACGUCCGCUUUCGCUUUCCCGUCUGGGCUCAUCAUCCCUUCGCCCGACAUUCCCAUGGCUCCUUCGCCAAGAGAGGAAACAUUUACUGAGAAAUACUGAGUUUUUCAAAGAAUAAAAACACUUUGUGUGAGAUAUCUGUGGGCAGGUAGCUUUGUACCUUUUGGCCGUAAAAUAAACAUCUAUGUUUUUCUGUUUAUAAAGAGAUUUGUCCCUACAGGUGUGCUUUCACCACAGCAGAAUGAAGAGGUUCGAUCGGCACGUUUUGCUAUCACAAUCGAUAAGAUAUGUGGACCUGGGUCGACUCAAGUCACUGACAUGAUGACUCGAAGGACUCGUCUGUGUUCAAUUUAUGUUUCCAGUUUAGCUUUUGAGUGUCGCUGUCAGUAUUUCACUCCUUACAAUAAAAAUGAUAAAAAAUG